RNAcentral lists this ribosomal RNA (425 nucleotides) under uncultured bacterium. RNAcentral's name for it is "partial 16S ribosomal RNA". It matches the Rfam family "Bacterial small subunit ribosomal RNA", at positions 359 to 776 of the family's 1533-position model. The record is from RNAcentral.
GAAUUUUGGACAAUGGGCGAAAGCCUGAUCCAGCAAUGCCGCGUGCAGGAUGAAGGCCUUCGGGUUGUAAACUGCUUUUGUACGGAACGAAGAGCUACGGGUUGAUCCCCUGGAGUCAUGACGGUACCGAAAGAACAAGCACGGGCUAACGACGGGCCAGCAGCCGCGGUAAUACGUAGGGUGCAAGCGUUAAUCGGAAUUACUGGGCGUAAAGCGUGCGCAGGCGGUUUUGUAAGACAGAGGUGAAAUCCCCGGGCGCAACCUGGGAACUGCCUUUGUGACUGCAAGGCUAGAGUACGGCAGAGGGGGGUGGAAUUCCGCGUGUAGCAGUGAAAUGCGUAGAUAUGCGGAGGAACACCGAUGGCGAAGGCAACCCCCUGGGCCUGUACUGACGCUCAUGCACGAAAGCGUGGGGAGCAAACAGG